This 253-nucleotide ribosomal RNA is filed under the name uncultured bacterium. Its description in RNAcentral is "partial 16S ribosomal RNA". It matches the Rfam family "Bacterial small subunit ribosomal RNA", at positions 524 to 776 of the family's 1533-position model. The record is from RNAcentral.
CACGGGGGGAGCAAGCGUUGUUCGGAAUCACUGGGCGUAAAGGGCGUCUAGGCGGUCAGGUAAGUGAGAUGUGAAAUGCCCCGGCUUACCCGGGGACCGGCAUCUCAUACUGUCUGGCUUGAGUAUGGGAGAGGAUGAGGGAAUUCCUGGUGUAGCGGUGAAAUGCGUAGAUAUCAGGAGGAACACCGGUGGCGAAAGCGCUCAUCUGGCCCAAUACUGACGCUGAAGCACGAAAGCUAGGGGAGCAAACGGG